This 305-nucleotide unclassified non-coding RNA is filed under the name plant metagenome. RNAcentral's name for it is "partial contains 5.8S ribosomal RNA, internal transcribed spacer 2, and large subunit ribosomal RNA". The stretch from base 1 to 105 matches the Rfam family "5.8S ribosomal RNA", at positions 50 to 154 of the family's 154-position model. The record is from RNAcentral.
GAAAUGCGAUAAGUAGUGUGAAUUGCAGAAUUCAGUGAAUCAUCGAAUCUUUGAACGCACAUUGCGCCCUUUGGUAUUCCUUAGGGCAUGCCUGUUCGAGCGUCAUUUAAACCCUUCAAGCUCAGCUUGGUGUUGGGUGACUGUCCGCCGCCCCCGGGCGUGGACUCGCCCCAAAUCCAUUGGCGGCCGGUACGUAGGCUUCGAGCGCAGCAGAAACGCGAACUCGAGCCCGCGGUGUCGGCUCCCAGAAGGCAUCUCUUUUAUUUUGACCUCGGAUCAGGUAGGGAUACCCGCUGAACUUAAGC